AAUCCACACCAAAUACGUUAGAUAUGAAUGGUGACAUUAGCUAUGUACCACAAUGACUCAAGUUCCAUUGGGUUAGGCUAGCCUAGCUUCUCUCUAGUUUUUCAAUCUAUAGACAUGGAAUGCGAUUUGAUUAUGAGGCUUUUUUGGUCAAGGUCCAAAAUAGUUUUUAUAGCACACUUUGGGGAUUGUCUUUCUUUAAGAUCCUUCUUUCAAAAUAAAAUACAAAAACAAUAUUUUUUUUUUCAGUUGUAAUUAACAGUUAUAAAUUGAAUUAUAAAAGUCUAACUAUAAUAAUAUUUUACCUACGACAUCCCCAACGCAAUAGGGAUCCAAUAUUGCAGUACGUGUUAAGAGUGACAUGGUGUUAUGAACGACGUGCCUUAAUUGUUCAUACUUAUAUGAACUCUCAGAUGUUCGACUGAAAUGCUGGAAAUUAUUAAAAAAAAUAUUUAGACUCUUAUAUAUAUAAACAAUUAAUUAUGUUAUUUUAAAAAAUAACUAAAAAUAUGAUUUUAGCCAUUCCAACUCAAUUUUCUUCAUAUAAAACCCUACAUAACUUUUUUAUUCAAAGAAAACCCAAUGACUAGGAUCUACAUAAGCAAAUUCAUUAAUUUCAUAUUACUUCACACAUUUUACAUUUUUCACAUGCCUAAAAUACCCCUAUUACAUAUUUGAUGUAGACAAUUAAUUGUAAGGAGAGAGUAAAUGAUUUUGCAACAAGAAAAAAAAAAUUAAUGUUUAAAAUUUAUUGCAUAUUAAUUUUUUAGAAAGGCUUUAAAUUUUCAUAAAACUAUUCGAUUCAGUUUUUUUCACUCUACUCUUAAUACUUUUGAAUUUAUCCUUUUUUUAUUAAUAUAUUAGAACAUUGUAUUUCAUUAUCUACAUGCACAUUAAUUUACCUACAACAAUUAUACCAUGAGUGUAAUAUAAUAUUUUUUUUUUACAAUGAUGCAAAAUAAUGUUUAUACUAACAACAAAACGUGCCUAACAUAUGUAUUAAUACAUGAAAAAUAAUUUACCUAUAUUAAGAAGAAAUGUAGUUCGAUGCAUAGUAUUAAAAAUACUAUGUUACACCCAUGUUUAUACAACAAUAAAACAUGCCUAACAUAUCUAACAAUACAUGGAAAAUGAUUUACCUACAAGUUAGAUAAAUGUUAUUUGGUUGGGUGUAGUAUAAUUUUUUUAAUAAUUGGAAAAAUUAAAUAUAACUAGGUGUAGUGUAAUUUUUUUUAUAUAAUUAGAACAAAUUAAUUUACCUACCUACUAUUUGAAAUGUUCAUUUCUAAUGAUGCAAAAUGUUCAUUACCUAACUACAAAUUAAUUUCCAAUAAUUUACCUACAACAAUUAUACCAUGGGUGUAAUGUAAUAUCUUUCUUUACAAUGAUACAAAAUAUUGUAUGUACCAACAACAAAACGUGUCUAACAUAAGUACUUGUACAUGGAAAAUAAUUUACCUAUAACAAAAGAAAUGCAGUUUGAUGUAUAAAAUCAACAAUAUUAUGUUCCACUCAUGUUUAUACAACAACAAAACGUGUCUAACAUAUAUAACAAUACGUAGAAAAUAACAUACCUACAAGUUAGAGGAAUGUUAUUUGAUUCAAAAUAUAUAAUAUAGGUGUAGUAUUUUUUAAAAAAAAUAAUUGGAACAAACUAAUUUACCUACCAAUUAAUAUAGGUAAAAUUGCUACAAAAUAUAUCACGAAAAAAAAAAACUAUUUUUCUAGUUUGACAUGGAUACAGUUAAUGCAAACACUUUUUACAUUUUAUUUCACUUUUUCUACUACUUUUAAUUUGGCAUAAAUUUAGGAAUUUGGAAAAUGGACCAUAAAGUAUGAGUGGCAUGAGUGUAAAUAAAUUGUAUUAAUAGGUCAAUAGUGUUCCCAUAUGUUUGUAAAUUUUAAAUUUGAGCUUAAACUGAAUCUUUAAAGAUAAAUGAGUUUUUAUCUAGAAAUAUUGAGUUGUAAGAGCCAAAAUCUAAAGCACCCUAAAAAUAAUUCACUUAUUGAUCUGCCCCUGAUCCUAAUGGCCCCCAAUAAUUCUUUUAGUCAAUGUGAAUCCACACCUACACAAAUGCUAUUUCUCCAAAUUUUUACCAGAUUUAGGAUGCCAUGGUAAUUCCUAUAAAAGAAUUACAAAUUAGAACAAAAAAUAGGUUUUAUUUUCAUCGACAAAUUUCAUACAUAUUCUUUUUAAACAUUUGAUCCAAAAUAGUUUGAAUAUAAAAUUGUUGGUGGAGAAUCUUUCUUUAAGAUCCUUCCUGCAAAAUAAAAUAUAUAAGAUCCAAAAUAGUUUGAAUAUCUGAUUUUUUUAUUCUACUACAAAACUGGGUUGGGCUAGCCUAGCUUCUAUUUAGUUUUUCAAUCUGUAGACAUGGAAUGCGAUUUGAUUCUAAGGCUUUUUUGGUUAAGGUCCAAAAUAGUUUUUAUAGCACACUUUUGGGGGAGUGUCUUUCUUUAAGAUCCUUCCUGCAAAAUAAAAUACAAAAACAAUAUUUUUUUUUCAGUUGUAAUUGACAAUUAUAAAUUGAAUUAUAAAAGUCUAACUAUAAUUAUAUUUUACUUAAGACAUCCCCACUGCAAUAGGGAUCCAGUAUUGCAGUGCGUGUUAAGAGUGACAUGGUGUCAUAAACAACAUGCCCUAAUUGUUCAUACUUGUGAACUCUCAGAUGUUCGAUUAAAAUGCUGGAAAUUAUUAAAAAGGUAUUUAGACUCUUAUAUAUAAAAACAAUUAAUUAUGUUAUUUUUAAAAUAAAUCACUUACUGAUUUGCCCCUUAUCCUAUUGCAAAUGUAUAGCCCCAAUAAUUCAUUUAGUCGAUGUGGUAAUACAAUACAUCUGCGGGAAUAUGCUACUAUUGUCCCAACCCAUCACCAGGGAAUGAGCGGGUGAUUGACUAGCAAAAAUCACAUGAUUCGAAAAAUGCUAAGCAAUUUCCAAUACUAUAUGAUGGUGGGAAUGUUUUAACCUAACAACAUGAUUAAAAAGUUAAUUAACAAAAUAAUAACCUAUUUUAACACUUUAUUGAUACAAUCCCACAAAAGUGCUUAAUGUGCCCAACACGGUAUAAAAAAUAGUGGCGG
Molecule: long non-coding RNA, 3079 nt
Filed under: Malus domestica (apple)
Lineage: Eukaryota; Viridiplantae; Streptophyta; Magnoliopsida; Rosales; Rosaceae
Description: long non-coding RNA (MDOM_LNC003421)
Source: RNAcentral